GAGAGUAUAGUUUAAUUGGUAAAACUUCGUCCUUCCAAGUCGAUAUCCUCGGUUCGAUUCCGUGUACUCUCUCCA
Molecule: transfer RNA, 75 nt
Filed under: Aeromonas phage APT65
Lineage: Duplodnaviria; Heunggongvirae; Uroviricota; Caudoviricetes; Grimontviridae
Description: tRNA-Gly
Rfam family: tRNA
About the family: Transfer RNA (tRNA) molecules are approximately 80 nucleotides in length. Their secondary structure includes four short double-helical elements and three loops (D, anti-codon, and T loops).
Source: RNAcentral